AGAAAGAAGCUCGUUUUUGGGGAUUCCUCAGUCCCAUGACUCAUUUUGAUGGUGGGAUUGUUGGGUUAUCAAGAAUUCAAUUUGAGGAGGGAAGCCUGGCUUACCACUAUGAAACGGUCAAAGGAAUCACUAACAUAAUGACAUUUACUCAGACUCAGCCUGACAGUGUAAUCCUACAGC
This is a long non-coding RNA of Nanorana parkeri, 180 nucleotides long. RefSeq lists it as uncharacterized. The record is from RefSeq and is a predicted model, not a curated record. NCBI's taxonomy places the organism in Eukaryota, Metazoa, Chordata, Amphibia, Anura, Dicroglossidae. The transcript is spliced from 3 exons.